GAUCAGGUUGAUCUGGGAGGAAGCGUUGUUCCUUCGCUAUGGUGCGCAAAUCUCUAAGAAGUGGGCGAGCGUGCGGGCAGCGCAUGCGGUGCCAAUUGCAGCGACUACCGANNNNNNGCAAGAUGCUGCGGAAUCUUCAGCUCAGCGCGAGCUUGCGGAGAUGCUUGCGAAGCCGUCUUCAACGACAAACGAAGAUCGCCCUUUGGUCCAGGCCGCAUUCUNNNNNNAUGUGCGCUCGGAGGUGUUCCGCCGUGCGCUUGAAAGUGUGAGCCCUCAAAUCCAGACACU
Molecule: unclassified non-coding RNA, 288 nt
Filed under: Hevea brasiliensis (rubber tree)
Lineage: Eukaryota; Viridiplantae; Streptophyta; Magnoliopsida; Malpighiales; Euphorbiaceae
Source: RNAcentral